This 599-nucleotide long non-coding RNA is filed under the name Solanum tuberosum (potato). Its description in RNAcentral is "long non-coding RNA (STUB_LNC002345)". Lineage: Eukaryota; Viridiplantae; Streptophyta; Magnoliopsida; Solanales; Solanaceae. The record is from RNAcentral.
CCGGAGAAAGGUCAAACCAAAGGAUGCAAGAUGCAAUCUUAAAGAAUCAAAUUAGAUUAUAAAACCAAAGUAUGAUCUACCUUUGAAGUGUUUCACCAACUUCACUAAGCAACGUUAUCAAAAUUUAAGCCCAGCUAAAGCUCAACCAACACUAGAGACAGCUGUCCAUGCGCCUAACAAAAUUAUACAUGAAGAUUGUCCUGAAUUCCUUGCUUUGAAAUCAAUAAGUAGCAACAUGGUUAGAGGAUCGAACAGCAACUGGAAAACUUAUUCUUUGAUGGUAAAUGGAGACCACCACUGGACCAAUGGCUGAGAUGUUACCUAAAAUGUGGAAGCUAUGUAUACAAAGAUCUCGUGACAAAAUCCAAGGACAUCAAGAGCACAAGAAGAGAGCAGGAAACAAAACCUCCUCAGCUACAAAGAAUAUGAAUCGAAUGUCUAGGAUUUUUGUCCAGAACCAGGAGGUGCAGGUGGCAUCCGGCUUGGUGUACGACGACUUCUAGACCCUGCAUCACCAUUUUGAGGGGAAUUUGAAGUACCAUCAAAUGCAGAUCGCCAUUCAUCACCUGAUGACUGCCCACCAGAUCUUGAGACGCUUU